GGGUCAGUAGGUUGGUCGUGCCACCGGUACGUACUGGUCUCACUGAUUCCUCCUUCCUCAAGAACCGUAAUGCCAUUAAUUUGGUGUUGCGGGGAAACAGGACUGUUACUUUGAAAAAAUUAGAGUGUUUAAAGCAAGCUAACGCUUGAAUACAUUAGCAUGGAAUAAUGAAAUAGGACGAUCGAUCCUAUUUUGUUGGUUUCUAGGAUUGACGUA
RNAcentral lists this ribosomal RNA (216 nucleotides) under Glomeromycotina sp. RNAcentral describes it as "partial small subunit ribosomal RNA". The stretch from base 40 to 216 matches the Rfam family "Eukaryotic small subunit ribosomal RNA", at positions 686 to 864 of the family's 1831-position model. The record is from RNAcentral. Lineage: Eukaryota; Fungi; Glomeromycota.